AUAUUGCCACAUUAGACAUACAAUUUUUUUUUUAACAUUUUACACCCAAAUGAAUAUUCACACAAAACCUAAUUACAAAAUCUAAAAUUCAAAUAAGACAAAUCAACACGCCCCUUCGUCUAUCCCCAUGCUACCUUCACCACCGUCAACCAUCGCUUUCUGAAACCACUGUCAGUCGUCGCUUUCUAAAACCACAAACGCUCUAGUUCCAAUGGUUUCAAAGGGGAAAACUUUUGUUGUAAUUAAUAGUUGCAGGCGCUGUUGUGAUCUUUGAGGUGCAAAGAAAUUCUAGAUCAGAGGCAAGAAAGGAAGAAAUGCGUGUAAACAAGAGGUGGAGGUAACAUAUGUUAAUUUUUCUUUCUAUAUUUUAUGGUGUUCUUUCGUCUCUUGUGGAAAUCUUGACUUGUUAUAUGUGUCCUUCAGUGUGAGGCUAGUGACAGCAAUUCCUUGCUAAAUUUCUUAAACGCUGUGUCACCAAAUUCUUUAACAAAAAUUAUACCCCAUGAUCUAGCAAACUUAGAAUGGGGAAAAAGAAUUUAAUUAUUA
Long non-coding RNA from Mangifera indica (mango), 546 nucleotides. RefSeq lists it as uncharacterized. NCBI's taxonomy places the organism in Eukaryota, Viridiplantae, Streptophyta, Magnoliopsida, Sapindales, Anacardiaceae. The record is from RefSeq and is a predicted model, not a curated record. The transcript has 2 exons.